This 444-nucleotide long non-coding RNA is filed under the name Coturnix japonica (Japanese quail). RNAcentral's name for it is "lncRNA (ENSCJPG00005003516.1)". Lineage: Eukaryota; Metazoa; Chordata; Aves; Galliformes; Phasianidae. The record is from RNAcentral.
AGGAGUGCUGCCAUUGAAACUGAAAUAAAUACAGUCUUUGUGAUUUUUUUCUAGGAAAAUGCUAAUGUUUUCGCCUUUGACUUAAAUGAAGUAUGCCUAGACACUGGAGCUCUAUUGAUUCACAAAGCAAGUUUUACAUACCAAGGUGAAGAAGCAACUAAGGAACAGCUGCUUAAAGAACAGUGAUGUCAAUUGAGGCAUGAAGGAAGAGGCUAUGCCAAAAACAAAAUACAUUCUUUUUACCACGUGUUCUUACGAAAACAAGAGAGCAGAGAACAGGGUAGAGAAAAUGCACUUCCAUUUCUGAAGGGUCAAAGGUGCAUUCAUGUGGCACUUCAGGAGGACAUUGCACAGCAGGGAAUACCAGCUGCUGGAAGGCAUGCCUUCAAGACUAUCUCAGGAUCUAUAAAGGCAUUUCAAGGGAUCUAUACAGCUGUGUUUUGA